UGACUUUUUUGAAAUAGGUCUCCAACUUUUUUUUUGUCUCAAUUGGGUCCUAUUUUUGAAAAAUUAUAGCAAUUAGGUCAUUGUCGUUAGUUACAUACUAACACCGUUAAAGAGGUGUCAUGUGUCAACUCAUGUUUUUUUUAGUAUCUUAAAUUUUUUUUUUAAUUAUUUUUAUUUUCAUUUAUAUAUUUUUUUUUCAAAAAUAAG
Molecule: long non-coding RNA, 207 nt
Filed under: Vigna radiata
Lineage: Eukaryota; Viridiplantae; Streptophyta; Magnoliopsida; Fabales; Fabaceae
Description: long non-coding RNA (VRAD_LNC002733)
Source: RNAcentral